This 345-nucleotide ribosomal RNA is filed under the name uncultured bacterium. RNAcentral's name for it is "bacterial SSU rRNA". It matches the Rfam family "Bacterial small subunit ribosomal RNA", at positions 30 to 376 of the family's 1533-position model. The record is from RNAcentral.
AUUGAACGCUGGCGGCAUGCCUUACACAUGCAAGUCGAACGGCAGCACGGGAGCAAUCCUGGUGGCGAGUGGCGAACGGGUGAGUAAUAUAUCGGAACGUGCCCGGUCGUGGGGAUAACGUAGCGAAAGCUACGCUAAUACCGCAUACGAUCUACGGAUGAAAGCGGGGGAUCGCAAGACCUCGCGCGAUUGGAGCGGCCGAUAUCAGAUUAGGUAGUUGGUGAGGUAAAGGCUCACCAAGCCGACGAUCUGUAGCUGGUCUGAGAGGACGACCAGCCACACUGGGACUGAGACACGGCCCAGACUCCUACGGGAGGCAGCAGUGGGGAAUAUUGGACAAUGGGC